CGAAUGUUAAUUGACGCUACGAUUCCGCCAUUGUGAAAUUUGAAUGUGGCCAGGAAGAAGAUUACAAACCAAGUUUACCACGUGAAAGAACUCAUUUCGUCGCCGAGUUUCCUUGCAGCACAUUUAAUAGAUAUCAAAGACUGUUAAUGUGUACAUUUGCAGUCGUUCAAAUUGAGGCUUGUGGGUAGGUCAAGAAGAGUGUUUUUUUUCUGAACGCGCACCUGCUCGAAACUGGCAAACAAUGGCGACCAGCUACAACGUGAGGUUUUAUCAUCACCGGUGAUAUACCGAUCGUCUGACUGCUCAUUAAUCGGAAUAAUUCAAGCGGUUUGUGAUAUUUGUGUUGUGGUCCUCUGCAUAAUCAACAUGUUUAUUGAAACACUAGAGUUCACGAUUCCUGUGGAAUUGUGCAAUGUAUUUUCCUCGCUUCAAAAGGGGCCGACUUCCAAUGUUGAAUUCCCGGCCUCAGUGAACUCAUACGGCACAACGCAAGAUGCCAAUGUGCAGGUUGUGUUACGCUCAAACAAACUAACGUUCAAAGUGGACGGAGUAUCGUCAAAUGCAAGCAUGAUAUCAAAGAGUGAAUGUAAGACUUUAAAACUCUCUGUGUUUGAUGUGGACCGCACAUUAAUGCCUCAAGAAAAUGACAAUGAUAAUUACAAUUCUAAUAAUAUGUCCACAAUACAAACGGUGCAGCAAACAGUAUAUUUGUCACAUCCUGCCAAAAGACUGCAUGAAAGUUCUGUGUCUAUGCCACAGCCGGCUGCAAAAAGCAGUAGGACUUCUUUUUCUGAGUCUCCAAGACCCAGAUCACCUGUUCAUCGUCGUCCACAUUCUCAAAUAAGUUCAAGUCCUUCAAAUCACUCUCAUCAAUCAAAACCCAAAAAUGACACUCCAGUGAAUGUGAAACAAGAACCAGAAGAUCCAGAUUUAAUAGAAAUAGAACCAGACCAUGAUCCUGAUGAUGUUGUGCCAAAGAAAGAGACUCCAUACAUGCAAAUAGAUUAUUCAUCCGAUGUACCUCAUACGCAAACGUCCAAGGCAGCUUUAGAUCGACUCUCUCAUCCACAAUCAUCACAUUCUCAAUCACCCGGUUCUUCAUCAUCGUCCUUCUAUCAAAACGUUCCACAUGUGCCAGAUUACGCCGAACCCAGUACUAGUCAAGCAAGAUAUGGUGACCAAAGUGCAGAUGACUUUUUAGUAUUCCAAGAUGAAAAUGACGACGGCGAUGAUAACGAAGCAGAUUACAGCAAUGACGGUCCUAACCAGGGACCUUAUCCUAGUCACGCAUGGGAAGACAGGAUGUACAAGGCAAAACUUGCUUCAUAUUUUACUCAGUCAUUGUAUCCCAGACAUUCAAACUUUUCAACCCCUGGCUUAAGACCUUCAGGUUCUGAGUGCACGGAGUGUGGCAAAGUGUUUUCUAACACUACAGCUAGGAGGAACCAUGUUGAAGCUAUUCACAGGAAUGUCAGCUUUGCUUGUGUUUGUGGCAAGGUGUAUACCUACAGACCAGGACUGUUGAAACAUCAGAAAACUUGUAGUGUGGCGCUGGUUAAUCAGACUCCACCAGAACCCUUGAACACUGAAGGAUGAAAAGUGACAUUGUUUGUUGAUAAUCAUGCUUAUUGGAGCUUGGGUGGAUUUAACCAUUCUUUUGGUGCCCAGAAUGUGAGGAGAAUGCCCAAUCAGCAAUUAGAAUAUGCAUCCUUUCAUGUGCCUGGUGAAACAAGAAAUCGGUCAUAUCCUUGUUCUAGAUGUGAAAAAGUGUUUUCCAAUGCCAACUCUAGAUGGUAUCACAUCAAAUGUGUCCACGAGAAAGUAAAUCUCACCUGUGUUUGUGGGAAACAAUAUUCAUACAGACCUGGACUACUUAGACAUCAGAAAAAUUGUAGUCUGUUUUCACUUCAAGAAAACAAAACUCAAACAGAGGCACAACCAAAAUGAUGUUUUGUACAUUCAUGUUGGUUUGGGACGUUCAAUGGCAGGGUUCGGUAAUGAUCAAAGGAUAAUGGCUGCCAGUCAUAGUCGCUUCAGUUUUGCACAUCCAAAUUUUUCCGCAACUAGCAUGAGGGAAGAACAUAUUGAUAGAGGCCAAGACAGUUACCUUUCUGAAGAAAGCCACCUAAGAUUAUACCCAUGUCCACAGUGUGAAAAGUCAUUUUCAAAUAAAAGCGCGCCCGAUGGAAUCAUAUCGAGGCUAUUCAUGAGAA
This 2213-nucleotide unclassified non-coding RNA is filed under the name Haliotis rubra (blacklip abalone). RNAcentral's name for it is "zinc finger and SCAN domain-containing protein 21- like, transcript variant X44". Lineage: Eukaryota; Metazoa; Mollusca; Gastropoda; Lepetellida; Haliotidae. The record is from RNAcentral.